CAGAUAUAUAAUUUUGGAGAAAAAUAUUUAAAAUUUGAGGAAAAAUUAGGCACGUGUAUUAGGAGGGAGAGGGAGAGAGAGUAUGCAAGCAGCAGCGCAAGCAACACAUGCAGUGCAGGCAAGCAACGCGGCACGGGAGCAACGUGGGCGAGCGGCAGUGCGGGGGCGAGCGUUGACCAAUAAGUGAAACAUUAAGUUAUAUAUGGUGAAAAAAAAUCAGCAAUUGAAACAUUUAAAUAUUUUAUGAAACAUGGUGAAGAUACACGUUGAAACAUGUCGCUGUCACAUAUAAAACAACAAGUAUUAACGGAUUAAAACAUAUAUUUUUCUUUUAUCAAAAUAUAAUCAUGCGAUAUCUUGUUGUAAAGAUUUAAUUACAACGAAUACAAUGGUGUGGUCGGAUCAUUGAUCGAAUAAGUAAUUUAAAAGAAAAAUCAUUUUGAAGCUUGCUAAAAUACAUGCAUGUAUGCAUGCAUGAGGUGGAGAGAGAGUAGUAGCAGGUAGUUUCAGGAUUUUUGUGAAACACACCGAAGACACAUAUUGAAACAUAUCACUAUCACGUAUGAAACAUUUUAUUCUAACGGUUUGAAACACAUGUUUUUCUUUUGACGUAAUAUAAUCAUGUGGUAUCUUAUUGUAAAGAUUUAAUUUCAACGAAUACAACGGUGUUAUCGGAUCGUAGAUCGGAUAAGUAAUUUAAGAGAAAAAAAUAUUUAAAGAGAGGAGGAAAGAAUGAAAAGAAACAGCUAGGCACAUACGUUACAGUGACAGGGUUCGUUCUCACAUGCGCUCGUUGCCUGGCUAGACGUUCGAUUUUUGGUGUGAUGCCGGACGUCCGAGCCGUAGAGCUCUCCCAAUAUUCCUUCUCUCCCUUCAUAUUCCCCCCAUAUAUAUAUAACCACCUUUUUGAUAAAUUUCAAACUAUUUUUUCUCUUAACUUACUUCUAUAAUCUAAGAUCCGUUUGGUCCAUUAAAUUUGUUGUAAUUAAAUCUUUGAAACAAGACCACACAUGGUUAUAUUUUGAUAAAAAAAUAUUUAGCUUUUCUUAAUGUAUUAUUUUAAGUGUUGCAUAUGGUUUUAUUUGGAUGUUUCAGCAAGUAUUUUAUGGUGUUUCAAUAGUUAGAAUCUAAUGUUUUCAUACAUGAUGUAAAAAUGUUUCACUAUAUUAUCAAGUGUUACAAAUAUAUUGUAUGUUUUAGAUAUUAUUUUUCCGAUUGUUUCAUUGUUGGGACUCAAUGUUUUAAUGUUUUAUAUAGUGGCUAAAUGUUUCAUAUAGUAGUUAUUGGUCUUGCAGUCAAUAUUUGAAAUGCUGCAUCUCUCUAAAAUAUUUUGUAAAGUGAAAUAAAAUAUUUUUAUC
RNAcentral lists this small RNA (1358 nucleotides) under Oryza sativa Japonica Group (Japanese rice). RNAcentral's name for it is "sRNA Os02g0546700". The record is from RNAcentral. Lineage: Eukaryota; Viridiplantae; Streptophyta; Magnoliopsida; Poales; Poaceae.